CAAGUCGAACGGCAACGGGGACUUCGGUCCGCCGGCGAGUGGCGAACGGGUGAGUAAUGUAUCGGAACGUACCUUUCAGUGGGGGAUAACGUAGCGAAAGUUACGCUAAUACCGCAUAUUCUCUGAGGAGGAAAGCAGGGGACCUUUGGGCCUUGUGCUGAUGGAGCGGCCGAUAUCAGAUUAGCUAGUUGGUGAGGUAAAGGCUCACCAAGGCGACGAUCUGUAGCGGGUCUGAGAGGAUGAUCCGCCACACUGGGACUGAGACACGGCCCAGACUCCUACGGGAGGCAGCAGUGGGGAAUUUUGGACAAUGGGCGCAAGCCUGAUCCAGCCAUGCCGCGUGAGUGAAGAAGGCCUUCGGGUUGUAAAGCUCUUUCGGACGGGAAGAAAUUGGUGGGGCUAAUAUCCCCAUCGGAUGACGGUACCGUAAUAAGAAGCACCGGCUAACUACGUGCCAGCAGCCGCGGUAAUACGUAGGGUGCGGGCGUUAAUCGGAAUUACUGGGCGUAAAGCGUGCGCAGGCGGUUUAGUAAGACAGGCGUGAAAUCCCCGGGCUUAACCUGGGAACUGCGCUUGUGACUGCUAAGCUAGAGUACGGCAGAGGGGGGUGGAAUUCCACGUGUAGCAGUGAAAUGCGUAGAGAUGUGGAGGAACACCAAUGGCGAAGGCAGCCCCCUGGGUCGAUACUGACGCUCAUGCA
Molecule: ribosomal RNA, 700 nt
Filed under: uncultured bacterium
Lineage: Bacteria
Description: bacterial SSU rRNA
Rfam family: Bacterial small subunit ribosomal RNA
Source: RNAcentral